Molecule: long non-coding RNA, 380 nt
Organism: Fukomys damarensis (Damara mole-rat)
Lineage: Eukaryota; Metazoa; Chordata; Mammalia; Rodentia; Bathyergidae
Exons: 3
Source: RefSeq, a predicted model, not a curated record
UGUAUACAGAGCACACAGGAAGUACAACCCUGAGACGCAACUCCUGGAGCUCCAGCAUGGUGCAAAGGGCAGUGUUUUGGGGAUUUGGGGAAGACGUGGGGGACUGAAACAUGGGUUUUAUCCCAUCUGGUGUCUCUGGAGAGACUCCCAGGUCAGUGCUCCCACUUCGGAACCUCACUUAAGCCACUUAAUAAGGAUACAGCGAAGCCGCUUCUGCUUUCAAAAGAUGUCACGGAGUAAGAAGAAGAACCCCAGAGGGACCAGGAGAAAAGCCAGAAAGAGGACAGCAAAGCAGCAUGGCAGGGUGACCAGAGGACUUUAACAACAGGGAGAGUCAAUUUCCUGUCACCUGUAUUUCUGUGACAUAAACCCAUUCGCAC